AAAUUGAAGAGUUUGAUCAUGGCUCAGAUUGAACGCUGGCGGCAGGCCUAACACAUGCAAGUCGAACGGUAACAGGAAGCAGCUUGCUGCUUUGCUGACGAGUGGCGGACGGGUGAGUAAUGUCUGGGAAACUGCCUGAUGGAGGGGGAUAACUACUGGAAACGGUGGCUAAUACCGCAUAACGUCGCAAGAACAAAGAGGGGGACCUUCGGGCCUCUUGCCAUCAGAUGUGCCCAGAUGGGAUUAGCUUGUUGGUGAGG
RNAcentral lists this ribosomal RNA (260 nucleotides) under Salmonella enterica subsp. enterica serovar Schwarzengrund. RNAcentral's name for it is "partial 16S ribosomal RNA". It matches the Rfam family "Bacterial small subunit ribosomal RNA", at positions 1 to 257 of the family's 1533-position model. Lineage: Bacteria; Pseudomonadati; Pseudomonadota; Gammaproteobacteria; Enterobacterales; Enterobacteriaceae. The record is from RNAcentral.